Long non-coding RNA from Pan troglodytes (chimpanzee), 224 nucleotides. RefSeq lists it as uncharacterized. The transcript is spliced from 2 exons. NCBI's taxonomy places the organism in Eukaryota, Metazoa, Chordata, Mammalia, Primates, Hominidae. The record is from RefSeq and is a predicted model, not a curated record.
AGCGACCAGGACUGUCCAACACGCCCCCGAACUCCAGACAAUUGAGGAGUUGUCCAUCUGGGGACACACAGCAGUGAAAAGGACGUAGCCUUUCCUAAUCCCUGAAGAGCUCUUCCGCAGGUACUCUGAAGGGCAAUUCCACCAGAAUGUACAUUCCAUGACAUCUGGGACUUUGAUGCAUUGCCCCAGACGAUAAUACCAGUACCUACAGCAUGUUCACCUAA